Molecule: ribosomal RNA, 433 nt
Filed under: uncultured bacterium
Lineage: Bacteria
Description: partial 16S ribosomal RNA
Rfam family: Bacterial small subunit ribosomal RNA
Source: RNAcentral
AACGAACGCUGGCGGCAUGCCUAACACAUGCAAGUCGAGCGAGACCUUCGGGUCUAGUGGCGCACGGGUGCGUAACGCGUGGGAACCUGCCCUUAGGUUCGGAAUAACUCCCCGAAAGGGGUGCUAAUACCGGAUAAUGUCUUCGGACCAAAGAUUUAUCGCCUUUGGAUGGGCCCGCGUUGGAUUAGCUAGUUGGUAGGGUAAAAGCCUACCAAGGCGACGAUCAAUAGCUGGUCUGAGAGGAUGAUCAGCCACACUGGGACUGAGACACGGCCCAGACUCCUACGGGAGGCAGCAGUGGGGAAUAUUGGACAAUGGGCGAAAGCCUGAUCCAGCAAUGCCGCGUGAGUGAUGAAGGCCUUAGGGUUGUAAAGCUCUUUUACCCGGGAUGAUAAUGACAGUACCGGGAGAAUAAGCUCCGGCUAACUCCGUG